CAGAAACUGAACUUAAGCAAGCUCUGUGGCUAACUUCUGUGUACGAGAAAUAUGAGGAAUAGAAGAACAAAUUAGGUGGCAGCCCCAGAAAAAAAACAAAUUCAAAACAUGGCAUGUUCUGUACGACAACUGACCCAGUUUCUGAAACAACCAAUGGAAUUGUUCUCCCAGCUACUCAGGAGGCUGAGGCAGGAGAAUGGCGUGAACCCGGAAGGCAGAGCUUGCAGUAAGCCGAGAUCGAACCACUGCACUCCAGCCUGGGCGACAGAGCGAGACUCUGUAUCAAAAAAAAAAAAUAGAAUGAGUAGAUUUUUCACUGCUUUGGUUCAUGGAAGG
Molecule: long non-coding RNA, 336 nt
Filed under: Homo sapiens (human)
Lineage: Eukaryota; Metazoa; Chordata; Mammalia; Primates; Hominidae
Description: HSALNT0345765
Source: RNAcentral